RNAcentral lists this long non-coding RNA (1270 nucleotides) under Anas platyrhynchos platyrhynchos (common mallard). RNAcentral's name for it is "lncRNA (ENSAPLG00000019432.1)". Lineage: Eukaryota; Metazoa; Chordata; Aves; Anseriformes; Anatidae. The record is from RNAcentral.
GUGGUUACUAGUUAAUGAGAACCUUCAAAAGAAAACAGGGUUAAAUUGACAAAGACUGUAAAAAAAAAAUAACUUUUUUUUCCCCUUUUUAAUCCUUUUUGCAAAACAAACUGGCGUUUCCCCUAUUUUCCCAACUUAUUUUACAGAAGUUAGCUGUCUCAGAAUGAGCAUGUGCAGACAGGCAAGAAGACAGAGUUUGGUAUAAAUAUACCCACCCUGUCAAAUUUUCAUUCUCAGGUGGUCAGCACAGGCACAUUAGUGCAGAAAAAGGGUAAAUCCUACUUUAGCCAGAGUUUGUUACAGGGCAGUAAGUAUUUAUCACUCAUCCCUUUAAGCUCGCUUUCCCAAUAAUGCAAAUGCAGGGCUACCUACGAACUUUGUGUUGCCUGUUGCACAUUUCUAUGAAAAACUGUGCUCUUGAUGCACAUGUAAGAAUUACUUAAGCUUCUUUAAACAGGUGCAGGUUGGAACUUUACUGACUAAAGCACACAGAGCAGGGAAUAGAACCUUUUUCCCCUAGACACAUUUUGAUUGAAGGAAGCCCAAGAGGUAUAAUGCUGAGGAGCAAAGAAGACACUUUCUGUUACUGGAAUAUAUCCUAAAGCAAGUGGCUUUGCAACAAUUGGAGGGGGGGGUGGGGUGGAACAGUAAGGUGCAUGGAGGCCAUUAAUUUGCCAGGAGGGCACUGCGGAUAUAAGAAACAGCAGGGAAGAGUGGGGCAUCAGGGAAAAGUUAGAAAAGCAUUGAACAAACAUGAUGAGAUGGCAAGGUAUAGAAGGAAGUAGGGACAAAAGCCUAAUUGAAUGCUUUGAAGUUACAUUGAGUGUUAGAAAAAAGGCAACUGGUUCAGAAGCCUAAAAUGGCCUAAGUACUAAGAUGGAAAAGUCAGUAAUAGAAAAGGGGAAAAAAAAAUCCUUGAUGCAGCUUGAUGGGAUGAGGGAGAAAGAAGGAAACCAGCAGAACUGCAGGUUACAAAAACUGCAGAUAUGCUUGUGUUUCUCCAGAUGUAUCCGGAGGCUGCAUUAAAAAAAAAAAUAGAGGCGACUGUACGUUUGCAGGUCAUAAAGCUUCCUAAAGUUAUUUAAGAAACAUAACACUGAAAUUGCUUCUUCUGCCUUCAUGAAGAUUGGGUGCAAUGAUAGACUGAGGAAAGCCAUUGCCUCUGCUCAGAGACAACUUACACUUUCUAAGUGGCUCAUGAACAGCUGAAGUCAACCCUGGUCAUACCAAUGAGAGCACAGUCAAUAAAGAUAAUUGUGUUUGUUUAGCA